RNAcentral lists this ribosomal RNA (491 nucleotides) under Nyctimantis arapapa. RNAcentral's name for it is "partial 12S ribosomal RNA". It matches the Rfam family "Bacterial small subunit ribosomal RNA", at positions 794 to 1522 of the family's 1533-position model. Lineage: Eukaryota; Metazoa; Chordata; Amphibia; Anura; Hylidae. The record is from RNAcentral.
GCCCAACCGUAAACUUUAACUUACACCCGCAUCGCCUGGGGACUACGAGCAGAGCUUAAAACCCAAGGGACUUGACGGUACCCCACAUCCUCCUAGAGGAGCCUGUCCUAUAAUCGAUAACCCCCGUUUAACCUCACCAUUUUUAGCUUAUCAACCUGUAUACCUCCGUCGUCAGCUUACCACGUGAGCGACCAUUAGUAAGCUUAAUGCCUAUGCGCCAACACGUCAGGUCAAGGUGCAGUAAAUAAAAUGGGAAGAGAUGGGCUACACUCUCUAUGAUAGAGAAUACGGAAGACUAUUUAUGAAAUCUAGUCAAAAGGCGGAUUUAGUAGUAAACAGAGACAAGAGAGCUCUUUUUAACAUGGCACUGGGGUGUGUACACACCGCCCGUCACUCUCCUCGAAGCUAACAAAAAAGUUCAUAACACAUCCAGGCACUACAGAGGAGGCAAGUCGUAACAUGGUAAGUACACCGGAAGGUGUGCUUGGAAA